GCUUUGGCUCAGUGCUGGAGCAUCUGCUUUGCACGCAGAAGGUCCAAGGUUCAAGCCUUGGCAUCUCCA
RNAcentral lists this transfer RNA (69 nucleotides) under Sphaerodactylus townsendi. RNAcentral's name for it is "tRNA-Ala". The stretch from base 5 to 60 matches the Rfam family "tRNA", at positions 8 to 63 of the family's 71-position model. From Rfam's summary of the family: Transfer RNA (tRNA) molecules are approximately 80 nucleotides in length. Their secondary structure includes four short double-helical elements and three loops (D, anti-codon, and T loops). Further hydrogen bonds mediate the characteristic L-shaped molecular structure. tRNAs have two regions of fundamental functional importance: the anti-codon, which is responsible for specific mRNA codon recognition, and the 3' end, to which the tRNAs corresponding amino acid is attached (by aminoacyl-tRNA synthetases). tRNAs cope with the degeneracy of the genetic code in two manners: having more than one tRNA (with a specific anti-codon) for a particular amino acid; and 'wobble' base-pairing, i.e. permitting non-standard base-pairing at the 3rd anti-codon position. Lineage: Eukaryota; Metazoa; Chordata; Lepidosauria; Squamata; Sphaerodactylidae. The record is from RNAcentral.